UACGUAGGUGGCAAGCGUUGUCCGGAUUUACUGGGUGUAAAGGGCGUGUAGCCGGGCUGACAAGGCAGAUGUGAAAUCCGGGGGCUCAACCCCCGAACUGCAUUUGAAACUGUUGGUCUUGAGUAUCGGAGAGGCAGGCGGAAUUCCUAGUGUAGCGGUGAAAUGCGUAGAUAUUAGGAGGAACACCAGUGGUGAAGGCGGCCUGCUGGAUGACAACUGACGGUGAGGCGCGAAAGCGUGGGGAGCAAACAGG
Molecule: ribosomal RNA, 253 nt
Filed under: uncultured bacterium
Lineage: Bacteria
Description: partial 16S ribosomal RNA
Rfam family: Bacterial small subunit ribosomal RNA
Source: RNAcentral